Molecule: transfer RNA, 114 nt
Filed under: Candidatus Caccoplasma merdavium
Lineage: Bacteria; Pseudomonadati; Bacteroidota; Bacteroidia; Bacteroidales; Bacteroidaceae
Description: tRNA-Lys
Rfam family: tRNA (bases 51-114)
About the family: Transfer RNA (tRNA) molecules are approximately 80 nucleotides in length. Their secondary structure includes four short double-helical elements and three loops (D, anti-codon, and T loops).
Source: RNAcentral
GACCAUGGCUCAGCUGGUUGCAUCCAAAAGUGAGCAUUAGCGAGCUUUCAGAUGCCGAAGAAGAGCAAAUGACUCUUAAUCAUUGGGUCGAGGGUUCGAGCCCCUCCGGGGUCA